UGGCCCAUCACGAGCCCCGAAACGCUUCAGUUUUUCCAAAACGAGGUAGAGCGUAAACCCUAAUAAAUCCCCGUUCAAACUCCGCGAAGGCUUGAGCUAGUUGGAUGGCAAGGCAACCAAGCCCUGAAAUUGAUGAUGAGCUUUUCAAUGAAGUGUAUGGGAAGGAAUAUACUGGUCCACUUAGACCAACUGGCAACAGCAUAUCAGUAAACACGCCAAACAAAAGGCCCCAUGAUGAUCAUUCUGCUGAUGACGAGGAGCGUCUUGAUCUUAAUGCUGUUCCAACUGAUUUUACUAGCAGAGAGGCCAAAGCGUGGGAGGCUAAAGCAAAGGCAAUGGAACGGAAUUGGAAGAAGAAGAAAGAGGAAGAAAUGAUCUGCAAAAUAUGUGGAGAAUCUGGUCAUUUUACCCAGGGUUGUCCAUCUACUCUUGGAGCAAACCGCAAAACUGCAGAUGUUUUCCAGAGAGUACCUGCAAGAGAUAAGAAUGUGAGAGCCAUUUUCUCUGAGAAAGUGAUCAGCCAGAUCGAGAAGGACAUUGGUUGCAAAAUCAAAUUGGACGAGAAGUUUCUGUUUGUGAGUGGAAAAGAUAGGCUUAUUUUGUCUAAAGGUGUAGAUGCUGUGCACAAGCUUAUCCAGGAUGAUAAGGAUAAAAGUUCUACAAGCUCUCAUAGUUUGAGAUCCAAAUCUCCUGUUAGAAGUCCUGCAGAUUCUCGUUAUAGACAGUCUGAAUAUCAAAGGUCAAACCCUAGUCCCAGAAAUACUUCACACCUCCAAGGCAGGGCAUUUGAUCAGGAAAGGGUUGUUGACGAUGGGGUACAUGAGGACCUGAAAAAGUUUUCAAGGGAUUCUCCAAGAGGAAUAGCUUAUGCUAGUGAACGAUGCAGAGGCCAAUCAGCCCAUUCCAGAUCACCUCCACGCUCUACUUAUCAACAUGAUUCUUUUAGUUCAUUUGAUGGUCAAAAUCAUAACAAUGGGCUGCUCAAAACUGGCCUUAGUGUAGAAAGGCGUGGAACAGAUUUUCAUUAUGAUAAAAGGUUCGACUUUCCACAAACUUUAGAAGAACUAGAAAUGGCGUUUAAGAGGGAAGUGAUGGAAGUUGGAAGUAUGCGGGACCUAGAAGAAGAUGAAGAAAACUACAAGCAUCGUGAGCGUGUUCGAGAGCUGAGAGAGAAUCACAUGAAGAAGCUUGCUGUUAUUAGAGGCAAGCACAUGAAACAGUGGGAGGAAUUUCUUCAGCUUGAUACCCAAAGGCAGAAGCAAGCUCGCUACCAUUCAUACAAUCAACUCGCUUGCACAGAAUAUAACCAGUUGUCUAGGGAUGCUCAAUAUGGUGGACCUAAUUUACCUGUGGAUUCAAGAAACAGGAACCUAUUUCCAAGUGAGGACUAUCCAGCCUCAAGGCCCCAUGAUUUACUUGGUGAUCUUCAGCAUCAACGACAUGAUGAUUUUGGGAGGGCCUAUGGCCGAUAUUGACCUUAGGGUGAAUUUAGAGGGUGCAAAUUUCAUGGUCCCUGAUAACUCUUCAGAGCUCUGAUUGCCUGGUAAGUAAUCAAACCUAUCUAAAGACAAUUAGAUUGUGCGUGAUGAUGGUGGUUGAGAAAUGAAAUUUUUGUGCAUUUCUGAGAAUUUUGCAUAUGGAGGCGGUAUUUUGGACUCAGCAUUACUCUUUCGAGUUGUUUGCAGUGUAGUUUCCUUGUAAUGUGUAACGUGACAAAUCCAAAAUGGUUAAACUACACGAUUUCUUUCUUCUUUUUGCCAAUUUGGAUGACUAUUCCGAGUAGCUAGCCAUUGCUUACCUCUUGCUUUGUUGAGUUAAGAGUAUAUGUCAACUGCUUUGGCCAGCACUGGAGAAAACUGUUAAUUUCCCCAAUUUCUUUCGGUUUCUUCUGCGACGUCAAUAGCUACUGCUGGAGGUAUUGUUUGGGUGUGAAUCAUGUGCUCCUCUGAUUCCAAUUUGAUGUCUCUUUGGAUUUGGAUGUCUACAAGGAUGCACCAUUGAUGGCUGAAUUAUACUAAAUGUCGUCAUCUUGUUCAAUUGCCUAACUGGACAUGGGACAUGGACCUUUUUAUCGUGCUGUUCUACAUUGCAGGUGCAUCUUGUUCAUGGUUUUGCAAAAGAGAUGGGACUCCUUCGAUAUCGUUUUCAGAAGAAAAUAUGAAUGUUAUAGGUCGAACCUACACCCCUUAUGGAUUCGAAGAGUUCAAAUGAUCAAGAUCAUUUCGUUGAUCUCGAAAGCGGAGCAAGUGAAAGUGACGACGCUGUGGACUCCUUGGACAACUCAUCGAGCUCUAUCGAGAGAAGUUUGAUAAAGAAGCUCGGGGUUGAGAGUUCGAGGGAGAAAAGCCAAAGAAAGCCUUCAAAGCCACCACGGCCUCCUAAAUCGACACUUCCAGUUGUUAUCGAUCAGAAAUUGGUUAAGGAAAUAUCGGAGCGUGCUAUGUUGAAAAGGGCAAAAUUUGCGAGGAUGAAAGCAUCCAGGAAGAAGAAAAAUGGGAAGAAGUCAUCUUCUAACGGAUGCUUAUUUGCUCUGGUCAUCACUGUUUUAUUCUGCAUCAUCAUAGUUUGGCAAGGAGUAUUUUCUAAGAGUAGAUCAAGUGAGACGUUACACAGUUCUCCUGAAUCAUCACUUAGAAGCUUGGCUCAGUUUCGCAGAAACCUCUCAACUCAGACCUCUUCAUUCUGGACUUGUAUCUCCUCAAGAAAAAAUUCUUCCAUUCAUAAAUACACGAAAUCAUGAAACAUGUCUGUGAACCUUGGAAAACAUGCGGUUUGAGUGUUGCGAAACGGGUAUACGUGAUCCAUGGAGGAGGAGAAGCUAGCAAAGAAUCAAGAUGAUCUCUUCAUCCAAAUUCUCUGUUGUUCCUUAAUUGUCUUCGCGCACAGAAUAUGGGGUUUUCUAUCCGCCGACAGAAUGCAGAAAAUGAUGAGUUCUGGACAUAUGGUAUCUCAAUUAAAAAUACAAACCAAGAGAGAACAAUAAUUAAUCUUUCUUCAAGAUGGAUUUACUAUUUUUUGUAACUAAGCUCAUAAAGGGCAGAUAAAAUACGUUUGGUUUUGAUUACAAAUAAGACCUGUAAUCUUUAUAGUUUGAGUUUGUUUAAGCAGUGCUUUUCCUAAUUUCAUGUUCUUUUCUCCUUUGCUUA
Asparagus officinalis (garden asparagus) is the source of this 3146-nucleotide RNA transcript. RefSeq lists it as uncharacterized. The transcript has 10 exons. The record is from RefSeq and is a predicted model, not a curated record. Lineage: Eukaryota; Viridiplantae; Streptophyta; Magnoliopsida; Asparagales; Asparagaceae.